Molecule: ribosomal RNA, 406 nt
Filed under: uncultured bacterium
Lineage: Bacteria
Description: partial 16S ribosomal RNA
Rfam family: Bacterial small subunit ribosomal RNA
Source: RNAcentral
AUUGAACGCUGGCGGCAGGCCUAACACAUGCAAGUCGAGCGAGCGGCGGACGGGUGAGUAAUGUAUGGGGACCUGACCGAUAGAGGGGGAUAACUACUGGAAACGGUGGCUAAUACCGCAUACCAUCGGUUGUACCCACAUGGGAUUAGCUAGUAGGUGUGGUAAAGGCUCACCGAGGCGACGAUCUCUAGCUGGUCUGAGAGGAUGAGCAGCCACCGUGGAACUGAUAAACGGCCCAGACUCGUACGGGAGGCAUCAGUGGGGAAUAUUGCACAAUGGGCGCAAGCCUGAUGCAGCUAUGCCGCGUGUAUGAAGAAGGCCUUAGGGUUGUAAAGUACUGUCAGCGGGGAGGCGUUACCCGCAGAAGAAGCACCGGGUAACUCCGUGCCAGCAGCCGCGGUAAUUC